AGAAUCAACGCUGGCGGCGUGCCUAACACAUGCAAGUCGAACGAGAAAGUGGAGCAAUCCAUGAGUAAAGUGGCGCACGGGUGAGUAACACGUGACUAACCUACCCUUGAGUGGGGGAUAACCUAGAGAAAUCUGGGCUAAUACCGCAUAAUACCUUCGGGUCAAAGGAGCAAUUCGCUUAAGGAGGGGGUCGCGGCCGAUUAGUUAGUUGGCGGGGUAAUGGCCCACCAAGACUAUGAUCGGUAUCCGGCCUGAGAGGGCGCACGGACACACUGGAACUGAAACACGGUCCAGACUCCUACGGGAGGCAGCAGUGGGGAAUUUUGCGCAAUGGGGGAAACCCUGGCGCAGCAACGCCGCGUGGAGGAUGAAGUCCCUUGGGACGUAAACUCCUUUCGAUCGGGACGAUUAUGACGGUACCGAGAGAAGAAGCCCCGGCUAACUUCGCGCCAGCAGCCGC
This 460-nucleotide ribosomal RNA is filed under the name uncultured bacterium. RNAcentral's name for it is "SSU rRNA". It matches the Rfam family "Bacterial small subunit ribosomal RNA", at positions 26 to 518 of the family's 1533-position model. The record is from RNAcentral.